UAUCUCUGUAGAGUCUGCAUAUCAAUAAGCGGAGGAAAAGAAACUAACUAGGAUUCCCUCAGUAACGGCGAGUGAAGCGGGAAGAGCUCAAAUUUGAAAUCUUCAAGGGUUUACCUUUACGAAUUGUAGUUUAAAGAAGUGUUUUCUGUUGGAGUCUUCGGUAAAAGUUCUUUGGAAAUAGGACAUCAUAGAGGGUGAGAAUCCCGUAUUUGACCAUUAUUUCCAGCUGUGUGAUACACUUUCAAAGAGUCGGAUUGUUUGGGAAUGCAGUCCAAAAUGGGUGGUAAAUUUCAUCUAAAGCUAAAUACUGGCGAGAGACCGAUAGCGAACAAGUACCGUGAGGGAAAGAUGAAAAGAACUUUGAAAAGAGAGUUAAACAGUACGUGAAAUUGUCAAAAGGGAAGCGUUUGACACCAGUGUUGUUUUCUCGAAAAUCAAUUAAAAAAUGAUUGGAUUUUGUGUUGUAUUGACUUUAUCAGCUUUCUGCACUUUUUUCUUGUCUUUUUUAAUGCACUUUUCGUUUAACAAGUCAACAUCAAUUUCUUUUGUUGUAAAAGGGUCAUUGGAAGGUGGCUUUCUUUUCGGAGAAAGUGUUUAUAGCCUUUGGCCUCUGCAAUCGGAGAGAUUGAGGUCUGCAGCGUAGAUCCUUCGGGGUUAGAUACAUUUGUGCUAAGUUAUAGCCUUUCAUAGACAACUUGUUGACUAUGAUCAGUCAUGUAGCUUACUCGCUUAUGCUAUUUUACCUACGCUUAGGAUGUUGAGUAGCGACAUACGCAC
RNAcentral lists this ribosomal RNA (777 nucleotides) under uncultured Neocallimastigales. Its description in RNAcentral is "partial large subunit ribosomal RNA". It matches the Rfam family "Eukaryotic large subunit ribosomal RNA", at positions 24 to 649 of the family's 3401-position model. Lineage: Eukaryota; Fungi; Neocallimastigomycota; Neocallimastigomycetes; Neocallimastigales. The record is from RNAcentral.